Molecule: ribosomal RNA, 465 nt
Filed under: Vreelandella stevensii
Lineage: Bacteria; Pseudomonadati; Pseudomonadota; Gammaproteobacteria; Oceanospirillales; Halomonadaceae
Description: partial 16S ribosomal RNA
Rfam family: Bacterial small subunit ribosomal RNA
Source: RNAcentral
CCUACGGGAGGCAGCAGUGGGGAAUAUUGGACAAUGGGGGCAACCCUGAUCCAGCCAUGCCGCGUGUGUGAAGAAGGCCCUCGGGUUGUAAAGCACUUUCAGUGAGGAAGAACGCCUGGUGGUUAAUACCCAUCAGGAAAGACAUCACUCACAGCAGAAGCACCGGCUAACUCCGUGCCAGCAGCCGCGGUAAUACGGAGGGUGCGAGCGUUAAUCGGAAUUACUGGGCGUAAAGCGCGCGUAGGUGGCUUGAUAAGCCGGUUGUGAAAGCCCCGGGCUCAACCUGGGAACGGCAUCCGGAACUGUCAAGCUAGAGUGCAGGAGAGGAAGGUAGAAUUCCCGGUGUAGCGGUGAAAUGCGUAGAGAUCGGGAGGAAUACCAGUGGCGAAGGCGGCCUUCUGGACUGACACUGACACUGAGGUGCGAAAGCGUGGGUAGCAAACAGGAUUAGAUACCCGGGUAGUC